GAGCUCGUGGUGUAACUGGAAACACACAGCUUCGCAAAUCGAAGGUCGUGGAAACACUCCUUCAUAGUCGGAAGGAGAUCUUGGUUCGAAUCCAAGCCUGCUCA
Molecule: transfer RNA, 104 nt
Filed under: Orbilia oligospora ATCC 24927
Lineage: Eukaryota; Fungi; Ascomycota; Orbiliomycetes; Orbiliales; Orbiliaceae
Description: Arthrobotrys oligospora ATCC 24927 tRNA
Rfam family: tRNA
About the family: Transfer RNA (tRNA) molecules are approximately 80 nucleotides in length. Their secondary structure includes four short double-helical elements and three loops (D, anti-codon, and T loops).
Source: Rfam by way of RNAcentral